Molecule: ribosomal RNA, 370 nt
Filed under: uncultured organism
Description: bacterial SSU rRNA
Rfam family: Bacterial small subunit ribosomal RNA
Source: RNAcentral
GAGGUGCCAAGCGUUAGGCGGAAUCACUGGGCUUAAAGCGUGUGUAGGUGGAUUUGUAAGUACCUUGUGAAACCCCAUGGCUCAACCAUGGAACUGCUCGGUAUACUGCGAAUCUUGAGCCACUUAGGGGCAACCGGAACAAAUGGUGGAGCGGUGAAAUGCGUAGAUAUCAUUUGGAACGCCAAUGGUGAAAACAGGUUGCUGGGAGUGUGCUGACACUGAGACACGAAAGCCAGGGGAGCGAACGGGAUUAGAUACCCCGGUAGUCCUGGCCGUAAACGAUGUCCACUAGAUCGUGGUGGCUCUGACGCCAUCAUGGUCGAAGCAAAAGUGCUAAGUGGACCGCCUGGGAAGUACGGUCGCAAGGCUA